CCCAGACUCCUACGGGAGGCAGCAGUGAGGAAUAUUGGUCAAUGGGCGGAAGCCUGAACCAGCCAAGUCGCGUGAGGGAAGACUGCCCUAUGGGUUGUAAACCUCUUUUGUCAGGGAGCAACGCCGGCUACGUGUAGCCGGACUGAGAGUACCUGAAGAAAAAGCAUCGGCUAACUCCGUGCCAGCAGCCGCGGUAAUACGGAGGAUGCGAGCGUUAUCCGGAUUUAUUGGGUUUAAAGGGUGCGUAGGCGGGAUGCCAAGUCAGCGGUAAAAAUGCGGUGCUCAACGCCGUCGAGCCGUUGAAACUGGCGUUCUUGAGUGGGCGAGAAGUAUGCGGAAUGCGUGGUGUAGCGGUGAAAUGCAUAGAUAUCACGCAGAACUCCGAUUGCGAAGGCAGCAUACCGGCGCCCUACUGACACUGAGGCACGAAAGCGUGGGUAUCGAACAGGAUUAGAUACCCCAGUA
Molecule: ribosomal RNA, 465 nt
Filed under: uncultured bacterium
Lineage: Bacteria
Description: bacterial SSU rRNA
Rfam family: Bacterial small subunit ribosomal RNA
Source: RNAcentral